RNAcentral lists this ribosomal RNA (482 nucleotides) under uncultured bacterium. RNAcentral describes it as "partial 16S ribosomal RNA". It matches the Rfam family "Bacterial small subunit ribosomal RNA", at positions 30 to 507 of the family's 1533-position model. The record is from RNAcentral.
AUUGAACGCUGGCGGCAUGCUUUACACAUGCAAGUCGAACGGUAACAGGCCGCCAGGUGCUGACGAGUGGCGAACGGGUGAGUAAUGCAUCGGAACGUGCCCAGUCGUGGGGGAUAACUACUCGAAAGAGUAGCUAAUACCGCAUACGAUCUAUGGAUGAAAGCGGGGGACCGUAAGGCCUCGCGCGAUUGGAGCGGCCGAUGUCAGAUUAGGUAGUUGGUGGGGUAAAGGCUCACCAAGCCAACGAUCUGUAGCUGGUCUGAGAGGACGACCAGCCACACUGGGACUGAGACACGGCCCAGACUCCUACGGGAGGCAGUAGUGGGGAAUUUUGGACAAUGGGCGCAAGCCUGAUCCAGCAAUGCCGCGUGCAGGAAGAAGGCCUUCGGGUUGUAAACUGCUUUUGUACGGAACGAAACGGCUCUGGUUAAUACCCGGGGCUAAUGACGGUACCGUAAGAAUAAGCACCGGCUAACUACGUG